UACGAAGGGGGCUAGCGUUGCUCGGAAUCACUGGGCGUAAAGCGCACGUAGGCGGACUCUUAAGUCGGUGGUGAAAUCCUGGAGCUCAACUCCAGAACUGCCUUUGAUACUGAGGAUCUUGAGUUCGGGAGAGGUGAGUGGAAUUCCCAGUGUAGAGGUGAAAUUCGUAGAUAUUGGGAAGAACACCGGUGGCGAAGGCGGCUCACUGGCUCGUAACUGACGCUCAUGCACGACAGCGUGGGGAUCAAACAGG
This 253-nucleotide ribosomal RNA is filed under the name uncultured bacterium. Its description in RNAcentral is "partial 16S ribosomal RNA". It matches the Rfam family "Bacterial small subunit ribosomal RNA", at positions 524 to 776 of the family's 1533-position model. The record is from RNAcentral.